Molecule: ribosomal RNA, 247 nt
Filed under: uncultured bacterium
Lineage: Bacteria
Description: partial 16S ribosomal RNA
Rfam family: Bacterial small subunit ribosomal RNA
Source: RNAcentral
UACGAAGGGGGCUAGCGUUGCUCGGAAUCACUGGGCGUAAAGGGUGCGUAGGCGGGUCUUAAGUCAGGGUGAAAUCCUGGAGCUCAACUCCAGAACUGCCUUUGAUACUGAAGAUCUUGAGUUCGGGAGAGGUGAGUGGAACUGCGAGUGUAGAGGUGAAAUUCGUAGAUAUUCGCAAGAACACCAGUGGCGAAGGCGGCUCACUGGCCCGAGUACUGACGCUGAGGCACGAAAGCGUGGGGAGCAA